RNAcentral lists this ribosomal RNA (459 nucleotides) under uncultured bacterium. Its description in RNAcentral is "partial 16S ribosomal RNA". It matches the Rfam family "Bacterial small subunit ribosomal RNA", at positions 338 to 795 of the family's 1533-position model. The record is from RNAcentral.
CCUACGGGUGGCAGCAGUGAGGAAUAUUGGUCAAUGGGCGCGAGCCUGAACCAGCCAAGUCGCGUGAGGGAAGACGGUCCUAUGGAUUGUAAACCUCUUUUGUCGGGGAGCAAAAGACGCCACGCGUGGCGUUCCGAGAGUACUUGAAGAAAAAGCAUCGGCUAACUCCGUGCCAGCAGCCGCGGUAAUACGGAGGAUGCGAGCGUUAUCCGGAUUUAUUGGGUUUAAAGGGUGCGUAGGGGGAAGUUAAAGUCAGCGUUAAAAUUGAGAGGCUCAACCUCAUAGAGCCGUUGAAACUGGUAUUCUUGAGUGAGCGAGAGGUAUGCGGAAUGCGUGGUGUAGCGGUGAAAUGCAUAGAUAUCACGAAGAACUCCGAUUGCGAAGGCAGCAUACCGACGCUCAACUGACACUCAUGCACGAAAGUGUGGGUAUCGAACAGGAUUAGAUACCCGGGUAGUC